This 484-nucleotide ribosomal RNA is filed under the name uncultured bacterium. RNAcentral describes it as "partial 16S ribosomal RNA". It matches the Rfam family "Bacterial small subunit ribosomal RNA", at positions 30 to 507 of the family's 1533-position model. The record is from RNAcentral.
AUUGAACGCUGGCGGCAGGCCUAACACAUGCAAGUCGAGCGGAUGAAGGGAGCUUGCUCCUGGAUUCAGCGGCGGACGGGUGAGUAAUGCCUAGGAAUCUGCCUGGUAGUGGGGGAUAACGUCCGGAAACGGGCGCUAAUACCGCAUACGUCCUGAGGGAGAAAGUGGGGGAUCUUCGGACCUCACGCUAUCAUAUGAGCCUAGGUCGGAUUAGCUAGUUGGUGGGGUAAAGGCCUACCAAGGCGACGAUCCGUAACUGGUCUGAGAGGAUGAUCAGUCACACUGGAACUGAGACACGGUCCAGACUCCUACGGGAGGCAGCAGUGGGGAAUAUUGGACAAUGAGCGAAAGCCUGAUCCAGCCAUGCCGCGUGUGUGAAGAAGGUCUUCGGAUUGUAAAGCACUUUAAGUUGGGAGGAAGGGCAGUAAGUUAAUACCUUGCUGUUUUGACGUUACCAACAGAAUAAGCACCGGCUAACUUCGUG